This 230-nucleotide ribosomal RNA is filed under the name uncultured bacterium. RNAcentral's name for it is "partial 16S ribosomal RNA". It matches the Rfam family "Bacterial small subunit ribosomal RNA", at positions 333 to 580 of the family's 1533-position model. The record is from RNAcentral.
UGGCUCCUACGGGGCGCAGCAGUGGGGAAUAUUGCACAAUGGGGGAAACCCUGAUGCAGCGACGCCGCGUGAGUGAGGAAGUAUUUCGGUAUGUAAAGCUCUAUCAGCAGGGAAGAAAAUGACGGUACCUGACUAAGAAGCCCCGGCUAACUACGUGCCAGCAGCCGCGGUAAUACGUAGGGGGCAAGCGUUAUCCGGAUUUACUGGGUGUAAAGGGAGCGUAGACGGAU